GACGAACGCUGGCGGCGUGCUUAACACAUGCAAGUCGAACGGUGAAGCACCUUCCUUUUGGUGGGUGUGGAUGAGUGGCGAACGGGUGAGUAACACGUGAGUAACCUGCCCCCUUCUUCUGGAUAACCGCAUGAAAGUGUGGCUAAUACGGGAUAUUCUGUGCCUGCUGCAUGGUGGGUGUGGGAAAGAUGCGCUUUUGGGUGUUUUUGGUGGGGGAUGGGCUCGCGGCCUAUCAGCUUGUUGGUGGGGUGAUGGCCUACCAAGGCGGUGACGGGUAGCCGGCCUGGGAGGGUGGACGGUCACACUGGGACUGAGACACGGACCAGACUCCUACGGGAGGCAGCAGUGGGGAAUAUUGCACAAUGGGCGCAAGCCUGAUGCAGCGACGCCGCGUGAGGGAUGGAGGCCUUCGGGUUGUAAACCUCUUUCGCCAGUGAAGCAGGCCUGUCCCUUGUGGGUGGGUUGACGGUAGCUUGAUAAGAAGCGCCGGCUAACUACGUG
Molecule: ribosomal RNA, 501 nt
Filed under: uncultured bacterium
Lineage: Bacteria
Description: partial 16S ribosomal RNA
Rfam family: Bacterial small subunit ribosomal RNA
Source: RNAcentral